Molecule: ribosomal RNA, 253 nt
Filed under: uncultured bacterium
Lineage: Bacteria
Description: partial 16S ribosomal RNA
Rfam family: Bacterial small subunit ribosomal RNA
Source: RNAcentral
UACGUAGGAUGCAAGCGUUGUCCGGGUUUAUUGGGUUUAAAGGGUGCGUAGGCGGCCUAUUAAGUUAGUGGUGAAAACGUUCGGCAUACACGGAUACCCGCCAUUGAUACUGAUAGACUUGAGUGCGACAGAGGGUGUUGGAAUGUGUGGUGUAGCGGUGAAAUGCUUAGAUAUCACGCAGAGCACCAAUUGCGAAGGCAGAUGCCUAUGUCGUAACUGACGCUGAGGAACGAAAGUGUGGGGAGCAAACAGG